UACGAAGGGGGCUAGCGUUGCUCGGAAUCACUGGGCGUAAAGGGUGCGUAGGCGGGUUUUUAAGUCAGGGGUGAAAUCCUGGAGCUCAACUCCAGAACUGCCUUUGAUACUGAAAAUCUUGAGUCCGGGAGAGGUGAGUGGAAUUGCGAGUGUAGAGGUGAAAUUCGUAGAUAUUCGCAAGAACACCAGUGGCGAAGGCGGCUCACUGGCCCGGUACUGACGCUGAGGCACGAAAGCGUGGGGAGCAAACAGG
RNAcentral lists this ribosomal RNA (253 nucleotides) under uncultured bacterium. RNAcentral describes it as "partial 16S ribosomal RNA". It matches the Rfam family "Bacterial small subunit ribosomal RNA", at positions 524 to 776 of the family's 1533-position model. The record is from RNAcentral.